This 233-nucleotide ribosomal RNA is filed under the name uncultured bacterium. Its description in RNAcentral is "partial 16S ribosomal RNA". It matches the Rfam family "Bacterial small subunit ribosomal RNA", at positions 524 to 754 of the family's 1533-position model. The record is from RNAcentral.
UACGUAGGGUGCAAGCGUUAAUCGGAAUUACUGGGCGUAAAGCGUGCGCAGGCGGUUUUGUAAGUCUGUCGUGAAAUCCCCGGGCUCCAACCUGGGAACUGCAUUGGUGACUGGCAGGCUAGAGUAUGGCAGAGGGGGGUAGAAGUUCCACGUGUAGCAGUGAAAUGCGUAGAGAUGUGGAGGAAUACCGAUGGCGAAGGCAGCCCCCUGGGCCAAUACUGACGCUCAUGCAC